Molecule: ribosomal RNA, 468 nt
Filed under: uncultured bacterium
Lineage: Bacteria
Description: partial 16S ribosomal RNA
Rfam family: Bacterial small subunit ribosomal RNA
Source: RNAcentral
GAUGAACGCUGGCGGCGUGCCUAACACAUGCAAGUCGAGCGAUUCUCUUCGGAGAAGAGCGGCGGACGGGUGAGUAACGCGUGGGUAACCUGCCCUGUACACACGGAUAACAUACCGAAAGGUAUGCUAAUACGAGAUAAUAUGCUUUUAUCGCAUGGUAGAAGUAUCAAAGCUCCGGCGGUACAGGAUGGACCCGCGUCUGAUUAGCUAGUUGGUAAGGUAACGGCUUACCAAGGCGACGAUCAGUAGCCGACCUGAGAGGGUGAUCGGCCACAUUGGAACUGAGACACGGUCCAAACUCCUACGGGAGGCAGCAGUGGGGAAUAUUGCACAAUGGGCGAAAGCCUGAUGCAGCAACGCCGCGUGAGCGAUGAAGGCCUUCGGGUCGUAAAGCUCUGUCCUCAAGGAAGAUAAUGACGGUACUUGAGGAGGAAGCCCCGGCUAACUACGUGCCAGCAGCCGCCGUAA